UGGGGAAUAUUGGACAAUGGGCGAAAGCCUGAUCCAGCCAUGCCGCGUGUGUGAAGAAGGUCUUCGGAUUGUAAAGCACUUUAAGUUGGGAGGAAGGGCAGUAAGCGAAUACCUUGCUGUUUUGACGUUACCGACAGAAUAAGCACCGGCUAACUCUGUGCCAGCAGCCGCGGUAAUACAGAGGGUGCAAGCGUUAAUCGGAAUUACUGGGCGUAAAGCGCGCGUAGGUGGUUCGUUAAGUUGAAUGUGAAAGCCCCGGGCUCAACCUGGGAACUGCAUCCAAAACUGGCGAGCUAGAGUAGGGCAGAGGGUGGUGGAAUUUCCUGUGUAGCGGUGAAAUGCGUAGAUAUAGGAAGGAACACCAGUGGCGAAGCCGACCACCUGGGCUCAUACUGACACUGAGGUGCGAAAGCGUGGGGAGCAAACAGG
This 429-nucleotide ribosomal RNA is filed under the name Pseudomonadota bacterium. Its description in RNAcentral is "Proteobacteria bacterium partial 16S ribosomal RNA". It matches the Rfam family "Bacterial small subunit ribosomal RNA", at positions 355 to 776 of the family's 1533-position model. The record is from RNAcentral. Lineage: Bacteria; Pseudomonadati; Pseudomonadota.